This 482-nucleotide ribosomal RNA is filed under the name uncultured bacterium. RNAcentral's name for it is "partial 16S ribosomal RNA". It matches the Rfam family "Bacterial small subunit ribosomal RNA", at positions 28 to 523 of the family's 1533-position model. The record is from RNAcentral.
GACGAACGCUGGCGGCGCGCCUAACACAUGCAAGUCGAACGAGAGAGAAGGAGCUUACUUCUUCGAUCGAGUGGCGAACGGGUGAGUAACGCGUGAGGAACCUGCCUCAAAGAGGGGGACAACAGUUGGAAACGACUGCUAAUACCGCAUAAGCCCACGGGUCGGCAUCGACCAGAGGGAAAAGGAGCAAUCCGCUUUGAGAUGGCCUCGCGUCCGAUUAGCUAGUUGGUGAGGUAAUGGCCCAUCAAGGCGACGAUCGGUAGCCGGACUGAGAGGUUGAACGGCCACAUUGGGACUGAGACACGGCCCAGACUCCUACGGGAGGCAGCAGUGGGGAAUAUUGCACAAUGGGGGAAACCCUGAUGCAGCGACGCCGCGUGGAGGAAGAAGGUCUUCGGAUUGUAAACUCCUGUUGUUGAGGAAGAUAAUGACGGUACUCAACAAGGAAGUGACGGCUAACUACGUGCCAGCAGCCGCCGUAA